AAGUCAAAAUCACAUUUUCAGAGAAGGAAGCAGGGAAGAAGUUAAAGCUCCCUGCCACCUUUACGAGAGUGUUGUGGAAAUUAUAAAAUGUUACUCAUAAAAAGUACCUUGCAAAUCCAUUCAAAGGUAUAUCACAAUUAUUUUAGUACUAAAAAAAAAACAUGUAAAGACAACUAGUAAACUUAGAAAUACAGAACUGUUGCUGUACAGUUGACAUAUUUUUUGGUUUUGCCAUCCAGAGUUCUCUCAGAAUCUGAAUUGGGCAAGAACAGAAAUAACUUGAAACACACAAAUCUGAGUAGUUCUGCCUAGUGACUCCUAAGCUGGCCCUGGUCAGUUUGAACUGUGGGAAAAGGUGAAGCAGUCCAUUGGUCUUUAGGAGAAAGUUCUGUUGCGGGGGCCUGCUUCCCUUGUGACAUGCGUGGAGAGGAAGCCUGAAUGGAGGGGUGGGCUGUGACCCACCAAGGCCAGGAUAGCAGAGUUCCUGACGUUCUCCUGAACUUCCUGGAAGUCUUGAGAGGUGAGACAGUCCCUGGAGGGGUAGUCUGCCCCGGUCAACUUUGACGUACCCAGGGUCGCCUGCCAAGUGAACUGCUUUUAUUGUUAGCAAAUGUCACUCCACCCAGGGCAGGAUUUUCAAAGAUUCCUUAGAUGAAUGGGAACUUCUGGUUGCUCCUUGUUUUCUGAAGUGUGUUAUGACAGGCAUUUGCUCUGUUCCUUCUUUGUAAUUCAGGAAAAUUCCUCAGGGCCUAGAGGGUGACCUUUAACAGAGAGCAGCAGACACUGUUACUCUUUUCCAGGCACUGCAGGGCCUGAUGGGUUGACAGGUUCAUUUUCUCACAGAUGUGUCCAUGUUUUUAGGCUGUUUCGGAAGAAAGAGGAAACAUGUCACUGCUCUAUUUCCUUGCUUGAUUUUUGAAGAUGGGGAGGAUUGAGAGAGGGAGGUGAGGUGCCAAGCUCAGCCACAGAGGAGAGCCCAAGAAGCAAGACGGUGUACCCUGCAGGUGCCACCACCAGGGCUGAUGCUCUUCACCAGGGUGCUGGCUCCUACUGGGUCUUUACAGGGAAGGCAGGCCUGUCCUUAUUCCACAUUUGCCCAGAGUCAUCUUGGGCAGGCACAUCUGGGCCUGGCUUCUAUUCUGGUGCGGUCCCAAGGGAAUGCAUUGAUGAGCUUGGUCCUCGGUUCCGAGUGGCCCUGGGGAAGGGGCUAUACCCCACCCCCACUCCACACCAAAGGCAGCCGUCUGGAGAUUUCCAGCAGGGAGGCUGGGUGCCUGCAGGCAUCACACCUGCUGUCACAGUUGUCCACGUCUUGCUUCUAGUAAAUUUCAGACAUGCCAGUGGUGGGCGAGGGCAGGGGCAGCCCAGGGGGCGUCUCCUGGGAGGACAGCUUCAGUGCCAGAAACACAGCGGGUUGGCUCGGAAGCUAAUCCCACAAUGUGGGUGGGCAUAGGAGUGGUCCCAGGCAUGCUUCUGUUUGGGGAGCAGCUGCGCAGCCGUGGGAAGAACUGAGUCUAUGGAAGCAGGAAAGCAGGUUUCUGAAGUCAUGGCUGUGUCACUUGCCGGCUGUGCUACCUAACCUCUCAGGGUCCGGGUCCUUUAUCUGUUAAAUGAUAAUGCGAACAGCUACAUCAGACGUCCUAGGAAGGAAUACAUGAAAUAGUGCAUGUGGUGGUGCUCUGUCAACAAUACCUACUAACGUUCGUGGAACUAUUCUAUGAACUGUGUAUGUUUUAGCUAGCAUUCUCAGCAACCUUUUAAAGUAGGUCACUAUUAUUAUACCCAUUAAAAUGUGAUAGCAGAUAAAGAAUGUGGAGAGGGGGAGAACAGAGAGAGUAAGAAAGUUGCCUGUGGUCAAACUGUGACUAUGCAGUGGAGCCUAUCUUCAAACCAGGUGGUCACAUUCCACGCCCACCCUCUUCAUCACUAACAAUGAUGUUAUGAUGCGGGAAAUGUCAGUGUUCACAUUUAUCAUAAGGCUUCCUUCCUCCUUAGCCUCAUCUUCAGUCGGUCGUUGGCAUCUGCAGAGUGUACCUGUAGCUGUAUUUGUACACUUGUUUUUAUUAUGUCACUCAUCGUGGUGGUUGUAAAACAUGGCCUCAGGCUUUUUGAGGCUCCUAUUGAGAGGUGGAGUCUGUGUCCCCUCUCGGCGAAUCUGGGCAAGCUUGUGACUGCUUAGACCAACAGAGCAAGGCAGGAGUGAUGACAGGAGACUUCUAAGGAGACGUCAUAGAAGGCCACUGUUGGCUGGUACACAAGGCCACCAUGUAAGAAGGUCGACUACUCUGGGGCUGCUGUGCUGUGGUCAUGCCAACCAGCAGUCCUGGCAGAGCCCAGCCUGCACUCUUCCCCAGGGUGCCAGGCACACGAGUGGAAAAGUCAUCUUGGAAGUGGCUCCUGCAGCUCCAGCUCUUCAGCCCCAGUCACUUGAGCCCAGUCUUUUUAGCUAAGGCCCGAGAUUGAGGAGGAGGGACAAGUCAUACCUACUGUAUAACAAAGUGAUGUUGUUUGCUGCUCUGUUUGGGGUCCUUUAUUGUACUGUGAUAACCAGGGUCAUCUCUGCCUCCUAUGUUUCCCCUCCUAUAGUUCUGCUUUCCAGUUAAUGGUGUCUUGGGUUACCAAUGGGUCCCUCUGAGUCCUCUUUUCCAUUCCCACUGCCCCUGCCUUCCAUAGUUCAGGACCUUACCACUCCCCUCAUCCACAGGUAGUGGCCCCCUACUGACCCGACUUCACCUUCUCACACCCUGUCCCUUCUCUGUACUGCAGCUGGAACUGGUCUUUCCAGAUGCACCUGAGUCAUAUCCAUCUCAGCCUUCCUUAAAAUUGUCUAAGGGCUCCCCAUGGCUGCCUGAAGGAGUGACACAACCUUCACAGUGGGGCGGCCCCCCUCCAGCCAGCCACACUCCCAGCCCAGCGCUGGCUACUCAGUCUUCCCGGAACCUGCCGUGCAUGCUUGUGCUUCUGUCCUUCCUCCAUGCUGCUGCCUGGGCUGCCCAGGCCUUCACACCUCCCAUGGCUAUAACUUUUUAUUCUUUCUCCAAGGCCUAAUGCUGAUAUCACCCUCUCAGAAGCUCCCCCUCCACCAACUCCACAGCACAAAUAAAUGCUCCUUCAUGGCCAUCGUAUCCUUCCCUAGUUUGUGUGUCGCUUUUGCAGCACUUCUUGUCUCUACACUUGGUAUGUCCAGGGCUUGCCAUGUAGCCUUCCUGGGAUAUAAUACGUGCUCUAUAAAUGUUUCUAGGAGUUCCUCUGCUGCUGCCCUCAGAGAGUAAUCUUCACCCUAGUAUCAUUAGUCUUCUUAGACCCAACACUUUGUCUCCUCCGCAAAAACUGUGGGUGACUGCCGAUUCAAAAAAGACGCAACUCCUUGGCAUGGCAUCAGUGACCUCCACCUAUGUCCUUGGGCUGCAGGAGCCUUCAGUAAUGGUCAAACAGUGGAAGUCUCCCAAAAAGUCAGAUGAAACCUUGAGAAAAGGAGCCAAGACUAUAAUAGUGGUCCUGUGCCACAGUGCAGGAAGAGAAUGAACAGAGAGAUCACUGGCUUUUUUUUUUUUUUUUUUCGGUGCUUGCACCAUAUCCUAGGUGGUUUCAUGCCAUCUCAUUUUCUCCCUGAAAUAUGUUCACAAUGAGGUGACUGGCUCUGGGGGAAGCCUAUGGCCAUGUUGUAAGGACACUCAAUCAGCCCAGUGGAGAGGUCCACAUGGCAAGGAACUAAGGCCUCCUGCCAACAGCCAACAAAGAACUGAGACCUUCUGCCAAUAGCCAUGAGAAAGUCCUCUUGGAAGAGAAUCUUCCCAUCUCAUUCAAGCCUUCAGAUGACCACAGCAUGGGCAAACUUUGAUUGCAGUCUCAUGAGAGACCCAGAGCGAGAACCAUCCAGUUAAGCUGCUAUCAAAUUCCUCAGCCCAUCUAAAUCGUGUUAAUACCUGUCGUAAACAGAUAACUAACAGAUUAAUAAGCAACUCAUAUACAGGCUUAGCUACAAAUCAUUCCAUACCGUAUUUUACUCAAACUGUUUUUUCCUAGUUUUGCCUUGAAGUGAAUGAAGCUCUAGAAAGCCAAAGGACAGAAGGAGAUAGGACCUCUGAGUCAUCUGGAGGAGUGGUACCCUAGAAAGCCAUCCCUAUCAUGCUAACUCACAAAUUUGGGACUUGUUUGCUAUAGUAGUUAGUGCUACUAAUUCUGUGUAAUAUACUCUCCUUUUUACUUCUCAUAGCAUUUAUUGUUCUCUACCAUAUAUAAUUAUUUGCAUAAAUAUAUUUUUUCAUUUUAGUCUAUUAGGUGCUUAAAAAAACAAACAAACAAACAAACAAACUACAUUGCCAUGGUUUGACUGUGUCCUCCAGAAGCAUGUGUUGGAAACUGAAUUGCCAUUGUAACACUAUUAAGAGGUGGGACCUCUCAGAGGUGAGUAGGCCAUGAGGGCUCUGCCUGCAUGAAUGGAUCAAUGCUGUUAUUUCAGGAGUUUCUUAUAGAAGGACAAGGUAGGCCCCCUUCACACUCUCUCUGUUGCACACUCUCUUGGCCGUCUGCCCUCUGACAUGGGAUGACACAGCAAGAAGGCCCUUCCCAGGUACAACCCCUCCAUCUUGGACUUCUCAGCUUCUAGAACUGUGAGCCAAAUAUAUUUCAUUUUUUUAUAAAUUACCCAGUCUUUGGUAUUGUUACAGCAGCACAAACCGGACUAAAACACGAAAUGAGAAAUUACAAGAUGCUUGGUGGUAUGUGCUUUGCCAAUGUAUCUCAAUUAAUUCUUGCAAUAACCCUCUACAGUAAAUACUAUUAUUCCUCUGAUUUUUCAGAUGUGAAAUAUGAGCCUGGGAGAGGUAGAGUGACUUGCUCAUAGCCCAGAAGAGGCCAAGCUGACAAAUCUGAGGAUUCCUGAAGUCACGUCCUUAGCCACACUCUAACACACUCCCUCCCAGUUAGCCCUGCAUCUCACACGGUGCCUAACAAAGUGUCUUACACACAGUUGUUGGUUAAUUUGUGCCAGUGACUGCAUGAAUAAGUGAAUGAAGAAAUAGCAAUAUGUUAAAAAGGGGAAAUGUCAUAAAAGUUCACAAAGAAUCAAAAAAUCCUGUUGCUCUCAAAUAUUUUUUCCUCAUACAAAUGGCCCUUUUUACUUGUAUGUCUCUGAACUUUAGGGUGCUAGUGGCUAGAACACAUAAAGAGAUUCAUUCACUGGAUGGAAAGCAUGCUUAGAGAAUACUAAGAAAUUCUUCAUAAUGUCUACUUUUAGAUCAAGAGCCUCAAGUGCUUCAGGACAUCAAACAAAUUUAGAACUUUUCUGAAAAGCCAAUUCAUUAAGGAAAGCUGCUGAAAUCCACAGGCACCUUUUAAGGAGAGGACAGGGACAUAGCGAUGGGUGCCCUUUCACUAGAAACCUGUGUCCAUUCACAACCAGGCUGGGGAGACUCAGAGCGUGACAAAGCCUUAAUUGUUCUUGCCAGAACAACAUGGUAAUGGAGUGAAAGAGUGGGUGCCCUGUGUACCGAGGAAAAAAGGCAAUAAAUGAGUCCCUGGCAGCACCGCAGCAGGUCAACCUUAACAAAGAUGGGGACGGCACUCUCUGCCAGAAAGCCAGUCUCAGCAAACUUGCUGAGUUAAAACUACCAGAUUUAAGCUAAAAACAGCGAUAUUUCCAAAAUAUGCAGCCUGCGCACCAUGGGAAAAGGAAGACUAUCCCUACCUGGGGAGUAGCUCACUGCACUUUUGAACUCCUGGGCUCAAGCAAUCCUCCUGCCUUUACCUCCUGAGACAGGAGGUGCUCUGGGACUUCCCUUCGCAUCUAAAAUAGCCGGAAGGAUGUGAGCGUGUGGUCCCAGGGGCUGGACUUGCCUCAUCACUCGGAAAGGAUUCACUGGGAAAGUUCCCAAACUACCCCUCCCUGAGCAGUCAUGAAUCCACACUUAAUUUGCCCCAUCAAAGUAGGCCUCAUGAAAAUAUUUUCCCUCAAACUUAAAAAACCACGGCAGGAUGAAUUCUCUCAGAAGUUAUCAUAGUUGUAGCAUUAUUGAUCCAUGAACAAUUGAAUUCUUUGAAUUCAUGCCUAAGAACACAAAAGAAGCCCCUGCACUUUUUUCACAAGCCUCUGUGGAAUUUCGCAUUCCAGUGAAAGCAAAUUACACUUAUUUUUUAUUUAGCAACAGCACUAUUUCCAACCACCAACGUAACCACUUAAUAGAGUUUUGUUUAUGAUUUAGCAAGAUUUUUUUUUCUAAUAACAAAAAAAUGCAGCUACAAAGCCCUAAGCUCAGAAAAAUACAUUUGCAAAAACAUAUUGCAAAUGUAACUCUCUUCUGUUUUUUAGUUGCCGUUAAGGAAAGUCUUAAUUGGAAGAGCAGCAUUGUCACCAACUACUGUGCCAAAACCAAAGCUGGUUCAGGGCUGGCUGAACCCACCAAGCUGAGGUCAGGGCAGAUGCAGCCCGUCCUCCGUGCUGGGCAGGAGUCUGUGGAGGAUUCUGCGUCUGUCCAUCCCGGUUGUGAGUACUCCUAGUUGGCCCCGCCAGCCACUCCUAACAGUCUUAGCUUAGAGCCCACCUCCAGUCCUAGAGGUGCCCAAAGCCCUAGUCAGGGUCCAGACCCUACAGUCUGUCUCAAGGUUUGAGGUGCUCUGGUCUGACCCAGAAAUAGCCCAGACCCUUUGGAGCCAUGGGAGUAGUUGCAGGGUCCAGGACCCAUCAAACAGUCCCGAUCAAUCCACUAGCUACUCACAUCCAAGGGCUUUGACUAGAACCAGAAAAAUUACAGGAAUGCAGCAAACCAACUGCCUGGAUGCAUUCAGCCCUGGGUCAGUCACAAUAGGUGUUGAGAACCCCUGGUUCUAUGUAAUCAAUCAAAGACAGACAUCUUCCACUACGAACUGAAACCUCGGCAGGCUCACUGGCCUUAAAUCACGCCUGUGUCACUCUGGAGCUAUGGAAUGAGUUAAACCUCAGCAUGCUCCUUGACGUUAACUCAUUCCAGUUUCUCAAAUGAGAACAAAGAAAACAUCAGAAGGUAUCCAUCAACAGUGGACUACUCUCCGCACUUGGCUAAGCAUUGUAUCUUCACUCGUAACUCAGAAUUUCCCUUCGCUUACAGGUUUAAUGCAAAUCAUUUGUUUGGUUAAAUGAUGGCACACAUAUUUGGUUUUUAAUUUAUAAUGUACUGGGUUUACUGUGGGGGAGGCAGUGUCUGCAGUUCUUUAUAAAUACUAAUGUAUCUAUAUGUGUAUUUGUGUGUAUAUUUAUAAAGGUACUUAUAGUGUGUACAUUUACAACAAAAUGUAACACAUCAAGGGUUUGCAUACAUUCAAAUAAAACACUUUAGAUUC
Molecule: non-coding RNA, 7317 nt
Organism: Macaca mulatta (Rhesus monkey)
Lineage: Eukaryota; Metazoa; Chordata; Mammalia; Primates; Cercopithecidae
Source: RefSeq, a predicted model, not a curated record